Molecule: non-coding RNA, 420 nt
Organism: Aegilops tauschii subsp. strangulata
Lineage: Eukaryota; Viridiplantae; Streptophyta; Magnoliopsida; Poales; Poaceae
Source: RefSeq, a predicted model, not a curated record
UAUCAAUUCUUUCUAAUAUGACCUUACAUGAGUUAACAGCUGGACUCUGUAGCUUCAUUAAAUCAAUUAAUUACACCGAGAUUUUAGAGAAAGUAUGGAUCCGAAGUUCAAAACCAUAUCCAAUUAGCUUGUCUCCCAGAAAACUACAAGGAUUGCUAAAGGAUGAUUUACCCAUGGACCGUGAUUGCUUUAAUUUGAUCGUACGGAAGAUUAUGUUGGAUGACAUCCAAACAUCACAAAAAACAAAGCAACUGAUAGCAAAGCAUUAUCUCGACAUGAAAUUUUGGAUGACUACUGAUUUUGGAAGGCACCCAGAUUUUCGUAAAAAGUUAGAUGUGGAGCAACUAGCAAAUUCUGUUCGUAGUUGGCCUGGUAUCAAAUAUAAUGUUUCAACAUGCAAAUCGGUAAGAGCACUUUUGU